UUAUGUUUGCUGUUGAAGAAAAAAAUCCAGAAUACAUAAUGUUGUUGUUUGAGUUAAAUAAAACUAUUUAAAUGUCUGUCUGGUGAUGUUCUCCUCCUAAUACAGCAUGGCAAGAAAAUCCUCCAAAUAUUAAUAAUUGACCUGUUGAAUUGGAGAUGUUUAAGAAGUCAUUC
Molecule: long non-coding RNA, 173 nt
Organism: Chelonia mydas (Green sea turtle)
Lineage: Eukaryota; Metazoa; Chordata; Testudines; Cheloniidae
Exons: 3
Source: RefSeq, a predicted model, not a curated record